This 245-nucleotide ribosomal RNA is filed under the name uncultured bacterium. RNAcentral's name for it is "partial 16S ribosomal RNA". It matches the Rfam family "Bacterial small subunit ribosomal RNA", at positions 333 to 595 of the family's 1533-position model. The record is from RNAcentral.
AGUGGCCUACGGGAGGCAGCAGUGGGGAAUAUUGCACAAUGGGGGAAACCCUGAUGCAGCAACGCCGCGUGAGUGAUGACGGCCUUCGGGUUGUAAAGCUCUGUCUUCAGGGACGAUAAUGACGGUACUUGAGGAGGAAGCCGCGGCUAACUACGUGCCAGCAGCCGCGGUAAUACGUAGGUGGCGAGCGUUGUCCGGAUUUACUGGGCGUAAAGGGAGCGUAGGCGGACUUUUAAGUGAGAUGU